Molecule: long non-coding RNA, 855 nt
Organism: Musca domestica (house fly)
Lineage: Eukaryota; Metazoa; Arthropoda; Insecta; Diptera; Muscidae
Exons: 3
Source: RefSeq, a predicted model, not a curated record
GCAGAAUUUGAACGGAGCACGUGUGCAGUGUGUUACAGUGAAAAGUUAAAAUGAUAAUUAAAGGAAGAUUUGGACCUUCAGAACCUUGUGCUACACCGUUUAAAAAAUCAACGCCACGACAAUGUGAACACGUUUUCGUGGCACGAUAUGCACCAAAAUACUGUAAAGGACAUCUAUUUUAUUAGGCUCCUUAAAGAUGCGGAACUGGAACAUAUUCCGGGAACUACCCAUAUAAAUCAUUUCUUCAACUCGGCUAAAGAUAGGUUUAACAAACUGUAAUUAUAUUAAUUUACACUGAAUUUUAAUUCCCGCAUUCCUUAUAUUUUACAAAAAGACUUAAUAAAAAUGUUCUAUCAUUAAAUUGAAAAAUAUAAACAGAAAAAUAUAAAGAAAAUAUCUAAAAAUUAGAUAAAGUUUUAGUAUUUCGGUUUUUCGAUCGAAUUUCGUAUCAAACAUCCGAAAAAUUUCCGAAUUUUGCAUUAAAAACAUCCUAUUAUUUUCCUAUUUUCGAAUGAAUUAUUCGAUUUUUUUCCGAUUUUCGAAUAAAACUAUAGAAUAUAUAAACUCCAAAAAUGCAUGACAUGUAUUUUUAUGGUGUUAGUGAAAAUUUGUAUGUAUGCUUCACACCUACGAUACUUUUUUUGAUUUUUCUCGUUCAUGAUGCUCGAUUUUGACGUGUGUGGAGGGAUCAUGCAUAUUCUUAUUUGCGACGUUUUUAUACCCUCCAACACAGUAUGGAGGGUAUAUAAAGUUUGCUUCCGAACGAAAUGAAGUAGGUGCAUAAAAUUUUACUCAAAUGUAUAUUAUGUCUGCAGGACUUUUGGUACUGAAAAUGGGCCAUGUACGUCCACUUUU